This is a long non-coding RNA of Chelmon rostratus (copperband butterflyfish), 405 nucleotides long. RefSeq lists it as uncharacterized. NCBI's taxonomy places the organism in Eukaryota, Metazoa, Chordata, Actinopteri, Chaetodontiformes, Chaetodontidae. The record is from RefSeq and is a predicted model, not a curated record. The transcript has 3 exons.
UUGUUUUAGGACGCCCCCACUAGACGCUGGGCAGACGGUCAGCGGCGGUGAGGCUAAGCACUGAUGACAAGCUGCUGGAGAGGCUGCAGUGGAGGAGAAUGAGCAGAGUCUGCAGAGGGGCCGGCCUGAGCCUCAGACAUACUCAGGGACCCUUCGUCUCGUUUGUCCUGGAGAGAGAGCUCAUUCCUCACCACCAUGUCCCAGAAUCAGUCAGCACAGACGACUGACUCCUUCAGCCAAGAUGUAUUUAACCAACUGUUUGAUAUGCUGGACCAAUCUGCCAUUCAUUCAGUCCAGCCCAUUGAGUUGAACUUCACAGACAGUCCAACUGAUGGGUCUGCAGGAAACACCAUUCAGAUCAGUAUGGACUGCAUAACCAUGCAUGAGCCAGAUGAAACGCUUACU